Mytilus trossulus (common blue mussel) is the source of this 253-nucleotide long non-coding RNA. RefSeq lists it as uncharacterized. Lineage: Eukaryota; Metazoa; Mollusca; Bivalvia; Mytilida; Mytilidae. The record is from RefSeq and is a predicted model, not a curated record. The transcript is spliced from 3 exons.
UUUUUUUCAGAAUAGGGGAAUCGUCACAAUUUUGGUGUUUCCCAAUCUUCUACACAGCCGGGCAAUCAAACUUUACAUUUAUCAUACAAGGUGAGUUAGAUUUCAAAGUAUUUGAGAAUGUAAGUUCAGCUUUAAAUGAGUCUCAAUUGUGUGAAGUAUGCGGAGAAAAUGGUGCUAACAAAUUUACAGUCGUAGCAAUAGAACAACCAUGUAAGUAUAGGUAACUAAGUAAAAUAUGUACGACAAGGAUAAU